AAUAGAUACCCUGGUAGUCCACGCCGUAAACGAUGGAUGCUAGCUGUUAUGCGUAUCGACCCGUGUAGUAGCGAAGCUAACGCGUUAAGCAUCCCGCCUGGGGAGUACGAACGCAAGUUUAAAACUCAAAGGAAUUGACGGGGGACCCGCACAAGCGGUAGAGCGUGUUCUUUAAUUCGAGGCUAAGCGAAGAACCUUACCAGGGCUUGACAUCCUUGGAAUUUCUCCGAAAGGAGAGAGUACUUUAUUGGACCAAGUGACAGGUGCUGCAUGGCCGUCGUCAGCUCGUGUCGUGAGAUGUUUGGUUAAGUCCAUUAACGAGCGCAACCCUUAUGAAUAGUUGUAUUUUUCUAUUCAGACUGCCCCGGUAACGGGGAGGAAGGGGGGGAUGAUGUCAGGUCAGUAUUGCCCUUACGCCCUGGGCUAGAAACGCGCUACAAUGGCCGGUACAAUGCGCUGCCAACCCGCGAGGGGGAGCAAAUCGCAUCAAAGCCGGUCCCAGUUCGGAUAAGAGGCUGAAACUCGCCUCUUUGAAGCCGGAAUCGCUAGUAAUCGUA
Molecule: ribosomal RNA, 557 nt
Filed under: uncultured bacterium
Lineage: Bacteria
Description: bacterial SSU rRNA
Rfam family: Bacterial small subunit ribosomal RNA
Source: RNAcentral